RNAcentral lists this ribosomal RNA (308 nucleotides) under Collinias sp. A JHS-2000. RNAcentral describes it as "partial 12S ribosomal RNA". Lineage: Eukaryota; Metazoa; Arthropoda; Insecta; Diptera; Pipunculidae. The record is from RNAcentral.
AAUUAAAUAUCCAAUAAUAAUUNAAUUGUAACCCAUUAUAAACUUGAACAUAAGCUACAUCUUGAUUUGAAAUAAUUUCAAAUUAAAAAAUAUGAAAAUUUUUAUUUUUAUAAAAUAUUCAAUAAACAACGAUAUAUAAACUAUAAACAAAUUCAAGUAAGGUUCAUCGUGGAUUAUCGAUUACAAAACAGGUUCCUCUGAAUAGACUAAAAUACCGCCAAAUUUUUUAAAUUUCAAGAUCUUAAACUAAUACUACUUAAAUAUUUUAAAUUUAAUUUUUAAUAAUAGGGUAUCUAAUCCUAGUUUAG